Molecule: ribosomal RNA, 449 nt
Filed under: uncultured bacterium
Lineage: Bacteria
Description: partial 16S ribosomal RNA
Rfam family: Bacterial small subunit ribosomal RNA
Source: RNAcentral
AACGAACGCUGGCGGCAGGCUUAACACAUGCAAGUCGAACGAGAUCUUCGGAUCUAGUGGCAGACGGGUGAGGAACACGUGGGAACAUCCCUUUCAGUUCGGAAUAACGUUGGGAAACUAACGCUAAUACCGGAUACGUCCUUCGGGAGAAGGAUUUAUCGCUGAAAGAUUGGCCCGCGUCUGAUUAGCUAGUUGGUGAGGUAAUGGCUCACCAAGGCUACGAGCAGUAGCUGAUCUGAGAGGAUGACCAGCCACAUUGGGACUGAGACACGGCCCAAACUCCUACGGGAGGCAGCAGUGGGGAAUAUUGGACAAUGGGCGCGAGCCUGAUCCAGCCAUGCCGCGUGAGUGAUGACGGCCUUCGGGUUGUAAAGCUCUUUUGUCCGGGAAGAUAAUGACUGUACCGGAAGAAUAAGCCCCGGCAAACCUCGUGCCAGCAGCCGCGGUAA